AGGGUUUGAUUCUGGCUCAGGACGAACGCUGGCGGCGUGCCUAACACAUGCAAGUCGAACGAAGCUCGAAGCUUUGAGAUUUCGGUCAAGAAGCCUAGAUGACUUAGUGGCGAACGGGUGAGUAAUGCGUGAGCAACCUGCCUUUCAGAGGGGGACAACAGUUGGAAACGACUGCUAAUACCGCAUAAAACAUUUAGAUGGCAUCAUCUGAAUGUCAAAGGAGCAAUCCGCUGAGAGAUGGGCUCACGUCUGAUUAGCUAGUUGGUGAGGUAACGGCUCACCAAGGCGACGAUCAGUAGCCGGUCUGAGAGGAUGAACGGCCACAUUGGGACUGAGAUACGGCCCAG
This 347-nucleotide ribosomal RNA is filed under the name uncultured bacterium. RNAcentral describes it as "bacterial SSU rRNA". It matches the Rfam family "Bacterial small subunit ribosomal RNA", at positions 8 to 334 of the family's 1533-position model. The record is from RNAcentral.